UACGGAGGGAGCUAGCGUUGUUCGGAAUUACUGGGCGUAAAGCGCACGUAGGCGGCUUUGUAAGUUAGAGGUGAAAGCCCGGGGCUCAACCCCGGAAUUGCCUUUAAGACUGCAUCGCUUGAAUCCGGGAGAGGUGAGUGGAAUUCCGAGUGUAGAGGUGAAAUUCGUAGAUAUCGGGAGGAACACCGGUGGCGAAGGCGGCGACCUGGGUAGAUACUGACGCUGAGGCGCGAAAGCGUGGGGAGCAAACAGG
This 253-nucleotide ribosomal RNA is filed under the name uncultured bacterium. Its description in RNAcentral is "partial 16S ribosomal RNA". It matches the Rfam family "Bacterial small subunit ribosomal RNA", at positions 524 to 776 of the family's 1533-position model. The record is from RNAcentral.